Small nucleolar RNA from Mustela putorius furo (domestic ferret), 136 nucleotides. The record is from Ensembl. Lineage: Eukaryota; Metazoa; Chordata; Mammalia; Carnivora; Mustelidae.
GAGCACUGUUUAUGGCCUGUUAGUCUGGCUGUGGCUAAUGGACCCCAUUCCAGUUCUCCAGCAUCUCCAGUGACAUGUGACUGACUGACUCAUGAGUCUCUCCUGGGGGGGGGGUCACAGAGCCAGGGGGAAAGAA